This 927-nucleotide long non-coding RNA is filed under the name Helianthus annuus (common sunflower). Lineage: Eukaryota; Viridiplantae; Streptophyta; Magnoliopsida; Asterales; Asteraceae. The record is from RNAcentral.
UUUAAAACUUUUAUUUUUCCAUUUAAUAUUACCAUCAAUUUGUGAAAAAUUAGCAAAAUAAGAAGAUCGGAUUUUGAAUCCUUCAAAAAAAGUUCCCUCCCCAAUUUUGAUUUCCCCCCAAGAAAUUAAUUCUCACUCCCAUUAACCUAAAUUUUAGGUCCCCAAUUCAUCCAUCUCAACUUGAGUAGUAAGUACGUGUCCCCCAAUUCUCUCUCUCUCAUUGGAGCUUCACACCGGCUGCGAUCCACAACUUUCGGUGGUGUUUUUCCGACCAUAAUCCACAGCCAUGACUCCUGAGUAUGACUACCUAUUCAAGCUUUUGCUCAUUGGAGAUUCGGGUGUCGGAGAGUCUUGUCUGCUUUUGCGGUUUGCUGUAAGUGCCGUGGAUCCUAUAUAAAUUACGCUCUUCAAAACUAGAUAUUACUAUUUUAAGAUAUCAUUCUUAUUCGUAUGAGUUUAACUACGCUUUCCGUUUAAAGUUCAUGCUAAUUUAUGAGAUGAAGUGUAACACCUAAAUGGAGCACCUUUAGAAUAUUUUGAUGAUAGGGCAAGAUGGCAGUAGUAUUAAUUACGGAAGUGAAAAGGAGGUCCAUUAUCUGUUUCAAUUUUCUAUUAUCAUUGCUUCAAAAUAUAUGUAUGUUGAUGCAACAUGAUGUACGAACGUUCAGCGAACAGUUCACGAACUGUUUGGUGGGAAGUUCGUUUGUGUUCGUUCGUUUACUAAACGGACGAACGCGGACAAUAAAUUUUGUUUGUUUAGUUAAAUGAACAAACAUGAACAUAGGUCGCGUUUGUUCAUUUAUGUUCGCGAACGUUCGGUAACGUGUCCGUUUAUGUUCGAUAGUUCAUUAAUGUUUUUAGUUUUUAUUAUAUAUUUAAAUUCUUCAAAAUUCCGACAAAUAAAAUAUUUGAUAAGUAUUGUGUAUU